UCUGUUGUACCAGACACCAGACCUUGAGAAUAUGCUGAUCUGGAAUGGCUCUGUGCCUCAUUUGAACCAUCAAAUAGAAUCCCUGCUCCUAGCUUGCGCCUUUUUCCCUAUAUAAGGACGCCUUUCCCUUGGGGCGGGCGCGCUUAGCCACACAGAAGCUAAGUCGCCCCAGGUACCUGCGUCUCCAAUAAAGCCUCUUGUUUUUUACAUCCAGUUCGUGGCCUCGCUGAUUCCUGGGUGUGUGGGUCUCCCUCUACGAAAGUGCCUCUUCGGGGUCUUUCAUUUGGGGGCUCGGUCCGGGAUCGAGACCCGCCCAGGGACCACCGACCCACGUCUGGGAGACAGACUGCCAGAUCCUGACAAUGACCCGAAGAUUACAGGCACCUCAGUUCCUGCACCUGGACCAAUGAGCAGAUGCUCAGAUAUGAAACCUGCCGCCUGCCAGAACCUGGCCGAGACUGUGGACAAAGCUGCUGGACGCUGGAAAAUUGAUUGUACCCCUUUGCCUAGACAAAACAAGGUCAGUCUUUUCCAUGUCCCUCUUCCACAGAGAGAAAAUAAAACCUCUCACAGAUAGGCCUGGCGAAGAUUGUUGUUCUUUGAGACAGCUGCCUCCAACGACAUCUGAGUACCAGUUGCUGACUUCAGACUGUUCUAAGUAGACUGCGAACCCUAGACUUGCUAUGGAUGUGAACUAGUCUGCUGAUAUGGACACCCCCUAUCUCUGCAACAGUGUCUGCUAACCAGAAGCCCCUGAUGGAUUCCCCGUUGCCUAAAUUCCUUUUUGCUUUUGACUAGCAUUUCAACCUUCUGGGGUCCCUAACUUCGUCCCAAAGUCAGCAGGAAGCAGUUUGGAAA
This 858-nucleotide long non-coding RNA is filed under the name Cricetulus griseus (Chinese hamster). RNAcentral's name for it is "lncRNA (ENSCGRG00015038509.1)". Lineage: Eukaryota; Metazoa; Chordata; Mammalia; Rodentia; Cricetidae. The record is from RNAcentral.